This is a long non-coding RNA of Felis catus (domestic cat), 2545 nucleotides long. RefSeq lists it as uncharacterized. The transcript is spliced from 2 exons. The record is from RefSeq and is a predicted model, not a curated record. NCBI's taxonomy places the organism in Eukaryota, Metazoa, Chordata, Mammalia, Carnivora, Felidae.
UAUUCUUAAUAUCCUCAUCUUGCUGGCUCCAGCCCCCACCGUCCCCCGCGGGAAGCCACGUCCUGCGUGAGUUCCUCUCCCCUCUCAAGUGUGUGGGCGAAUCCUGUGUGCUCACGAAUCCGGGGAGACGGCCACCUGCGUCGUCCUCUGUCCCCGUCAACCGCCAUUUCCACUGCCCCCUUCAGUUUCUCCGUGACGGUCCUGUCCCGCCAGGUCCCGCCUGCCUCUGCUUCUAGAUCGCUGCAGGAUCUCCCUGUUUGCGGGUCACUAAGGGGAAGAGUGCUCCUCUAGGGUGGGAUCCCCCAGCAGGGCUGUUUGGGACCGCUCAUCGGACGGCUCCCUCUCUUGCUCUCAGCCUCCUCCUCCCAAGGUUGGCGACUGGGUUGUAACAGGUCCGGGAACCAGCCGGCAGGAUGGAUCCGGACCCAAGACUCCCCCCAUCCUGAGGCCCCUGGCUUGCCACCCGGACUCUGUGCUUUCUCUUAGGAAGGGUUUCUCCUUGGUUCCUGACGGUCCUUCCUGGCUUCCACUGGGUGUCUGCCUUUCUUGUUCCAGGCACGCCUCACGUGUGUCCGAACCCAAAGUAACCUGGUCCUGCUGCCAUCUUGUGACCUAGUGGCUGCACGUGGAUGGCUGGAUGUGGAGCAUCGCUCGGCCCUGCUCCCUAGGUUCCUUCAGUUCCUGCGUUUCCAAUCAAAUCAUCUCAAGUCAAUAAUCUUCCUUGGCAACGUUCUCGAACAGACAUGAAACGUUCUGCCGAGCGGACCCGUCUUCGCUUGUGCUACCCCUGUCCUCUGGCGGGACAUCGAGGUGACUUCCAGUUUCUCUCUGUCAUAAAAAAGGCCGUGACGAACAUCCUCAGCACCCCAAGCUUGGGUCACAUCUCCAAAGAUGCCUGCAGGGGGCGUUCCCAGAAGUGGGGGGUGAGCGGGCCAAAGGUUGUGAACCUCCUUUAAGCAACAAAAACAUCCUGCUAAAUGUCCUUUCAGAAAAAUGGCACUGAGUCCUGCCAGCAGUAGAGGAAAUUCUUCAUCUCGCUUCCCCCCACCCCCACCCCCCCAGCAUCGGGUGUCCCACAAAGCCAGGGGCUUUGUGCACCUGCGCUUACUGGCUGUCGUGGGCCCGGCUCUGGGUACCUGCUGGGGGACGUGGCCGCACAUCACACUGUUUAGGCAGCUGCUAUGAGGUGCCAGUGCCUCUAGGGUCCACACAAGUCAGGGAAGAUCUAUGUCGUUUUCUUUGAUUUCAAAUGAAGUGGCUUCUAAACACCACUUAAAAAUACGUUAAUAAUGGUGGCGACGUAUCACCCAUCUUGAAGAAGUGACAGGUGUUUCCCUCAGCAAAAUGUUGAAGUGGGAGAGUGGGUUAGGGCGUUAGGAGAUCGAUUCGUUUCUGCCAAGGGGCUCAUUACCUCUUGUCUAGACGGCCUCCUGACUGGCCCCCUGCCUCCAGCUCCCGCAGCCCACCACCCCCCUCUGGCCCAAUCCCUCCCCCACACUGAGGUCUAGUUAACCUUGUUGACGUGGUUCGGGAAAGUGGGAUGUGUGAGGGGCUUGGAGUCAGGUGCCCGGCGUUCUGGUCUGUGUUCUGUCACUGAGUUCCUGGGUGUGGUGGAUCCACAUCUACCUCUGUGUCCCCCUUUUCUCGGAUCGGCACUCCGGGUUUCCUUUGAGGUCCCACUCUGCCCUUUCUCAGUCUUGGGAUGUCAUGGCAGGCUGACACUGCCCCCCCCCCCCAUUCAGAGGUAGGCAUAUUAUACCCAGGCUUGGCCAUUGAGAGUUCUGCAGACCCCUGGCCCAAUGAUCAAGGGGCAGCGUGUGUCUGAGGCUGAGCCAGCCAUUUUCUGAGGGCUGGAUCCAACUGUACCUGAAGCUCACUCUCAACAUCCUGGUUAUGUGAGCCAAAUCUCCACUCCUCGUCCUCCUCCUCCUCCCUACUUCUCCUUCCUCCUCCUCCUCCUCCUCUUCCUCCUCCUCCUCCUCCUCUUCCUCCUCCUCCUCCUCUUCCUCCUCCUCCCUCUCCUCCAAAUCCAUCUGAAUUGGGUGCUUGUUACUUGUAAACAAAAGAGCUGAGACUGCUACACAGCGUGACCUUGGGCAAGUCCUUUUUUCUGUGGUGGUCUCAGUUGUUCCAUCUGGGAAAUGAAAGGGUUGGGAUUCUUUGAGGUUCUUCUAGCCUGGGAAGUUCAAGUUCCCCAUCUGGGUUGGGAGGGUCACAGGUGGAAGGGCUGGCUUGUCCGGAGACUCCAUUGCUGUGCAACAUCGCCAGGAGCAACCUCAGUGGGCACAGUUCUUCCCAGACCUCCAAAGGGCUGCCCCGGGGCAAAGGCAGUGGUAGAGUAGCCUCCCCUGGGGGAAGAUCCGGGGGCACCCUGGCGUUUCCUGGAACAUCGUGACCAGCAGUGAGAGGUGCUGCCCCUGCUCUGUGUCUCUCAAAGGCUCCCAAGUACCUUCAGGAUUAAGUCCUACUUACCCCCUUCGAUGGGCAGAAGGCCAGGCUCCGCACAGCGCUUAAUAAAUAUUAAAUGAACAAUUGAAUGAGCAAA